CCCUACGGGGCGCAGCAGGCGCGAAAACUUUACAAUGCGGGAAACCGUGGUAAGGGAACUCCGAGUGUCCGUAAAUGCGGACUGUCCGUAUGUUUAAAAAGCAUGCGAAGAAAGGGCCGGGCAAGACCGGUGCCAGCCGCCGCGGUAAUACCGGCGGCUCGAGUGGCGGCCACUAUUACUGGGCUUAUAGCGUUCGUAGCUGGGUUGUUAAGUCUCUUGGGAAAUCUACCGGCUUAACCGAUAGGCGUCCAAGGGAUACUGGCAAUCUAGGGACCGGGAGAGGUGAGGGGUACUUCAGGGGUAGGAGUGAAAUCCUGUAAUCC
This 323-nucleotide ribosomal RNA is filed under the name uncultured archaeon. Its description in RNAcentral is "bacterial SSU rRNA". It matches the Rfam family "Archaeal small subunit ribosomal RNA", at positions 321 to 648 of the family's 1478-position model. The record is from RNAcentral.